AUGGUCAACACCGAAAUCAGAUUGAUUGUAUUCUUUGCAGCCAAAGAUGGAGAAGCUCUAUAUAAGUCAGCAAAAACAAAACCAGGAGCUGACUGUGGCUCAGAUCACGAACUCCUUAUUGCCAAAUUCAGACUUAAAUUGAAGAAAGUAGGGAAAACCACUAGACCAUUCAGGUAUGACCUAAAUCAAAUCCCUUAUGAUUAUACAGUGGGAGUGAGAAAUAGAUUUAAGGGACUAGAUCUGAUAGAUAGAGUGCCUGAUGAACUAUGGACUGAGGUUCAUGACAUUGUACAGGAGACAGGGAUCAAGACCAUCCCCAUGGAAAAGAAAUGCAAAAAAGCAAAAUGGCUGUCUGGGGAGGCCUUACAAAUAGCUGUGAAAAGAAGAGAAGUGAAAAGCAAAGGAGAAAAGGAAAGAUAUAAGCAUCUGAAUGCAGAGUUCCAAAGAAUAGCAAGAAGAGAUAAGAAAGCCUUCCUCAGCAACCAAUGCAAAGAAAUAGAAGAAAACAACAGAAUGGGGAAGACUAGAGAUCUCUUCAAGAAAAUCAGAGAUACCAAAGGAACAUUUCAUGCAAAGAUAGGCUCGAAAAAGGACAGAAAUGGUAUGGACCUAACAGAAGCAGAAGAUAUUAAGAUGUGGCAGGAAUACACAGAAGAACUGUACAAAAAAGAUCUUCACGACCCAGAUAAUCACGAUGGUGUGAUCACUGACCUAGAGCCAGACAUCCUGGAAUGUGAAGUCAAGUGGGCCUUAGAAAGCAUCACUACGAACAAAGCUAGUGGAGGUGAUGGAAUUCUAGUUGAGCUAUUUCAAAUCCUGAAAGAUGAUGCUGUGAAAGUGCUGCACUCAAUAUGCCAGCAAAUUUGGAAAACUCAGCAGUGGCCACAGGACUGGAAAAGGUCAGUUUUCAUUCCGAUCCCAAAGAAAGGCAAUGCCAAAGAAUGCUCAAACUACUGCACAAUUGCACUCAUCUCACACGCUAGUAAAGUAAUGCUCAAAAUUCUCCAAGCCAGGAUUCAGCAAUACGUGAACCGUGAACUUCCUGAUGCUCAAGCUGGUUUUAGAAAAGGCAGAGGAACCAGAGAUCAAAUUGCCAACAUCUGCUGGAUCAUGGAAAAAGCAAGAGAGUUCCAGAAAAACAUCUAUUUCUGCUUUAUUGACUAUGCCAAAGCCUUUGACUGUGUGGAUCACAAUAAACUGUGGAAAAUUCUGAAAGAGAUGGGAAUACCAGACCACCUGACCUGCCUCUUGAGAAACCUUAUAUGCAGGUCAGGAAGCAACAGUUAG
Bos indicus x Bos taurus (hybrid cattle) is the source of this 1287-nucleotide long non-coding RNA. NCBI's taxonomy places the organism in Eukaryota, Metazoa, Chordata, Mammalia, Artiodactyla, Bovidae. The record is from Ensembl.